RNAcentral lists this ribosomal RNA (1372 nucleotides) under uncultured bacterium. RNAcentral describes it as "bacterial SSU rRNA". It matches the Rfam family "Bacterial small subunit ribosomal RNA", at positions 28 to 1381 of the family's 1533-position model. The record is from RNAcentral.
GAUGAACGCUGGCGGCGUGCCUAAUACAUGCAAGUCGAGCGAACGGACGAGAAGCUUGCUUCUCUGAUGUUAGCGGCGGACGGGUGAGUAACACGUGGAUAACCUACCUAUAAGACUGGGAUAACUUCGGGAAACCGGAGCUAAUACCGGAUAAUAUUUUGAACCGCAUGGUUCAAAAGUGAAAGACGGUCUUGCUGUCACUUAUAGAUGGAUCCGCGCUGCAUUAGCUAGUUGGUAAGGUAACGGCUUACCAAGGCAACGAUGCAUAGCCGACCUGAGAGGGUGAUCGGCCACACUGGAACUGAGACACGGUCCAGACUCCUACGGGAGGCAGCAGUAGGGAAUCUUCCGCAAUGGGCGAAAGCCUGACGGAGCAACGCCGCGUGAGUGAUGAAGGUCUUCGGAUCGUAAAACUCUGUUAUUAGGGAAGAACAUAUGUGUAAGUAACUGUGCACAUCUUGACGGUACCUAAUCAGAAAGCCACGGCUAACUACGUGCCAGCAGCCGCGGCAAUACGUAGGUGGCAAGCGUUAUCCGGAAUUAUUGGGCGUAAAGCGCGCGUAGGCGGUUUUUUAAGUCUGAUGUGAAAGCCCACGGCUCAACCGUGGAGGGUCAUUAGAAACUGGAAAACUUGAGUGCAGAAGAGGAAAGUGGAAUUCCAUGUGUAGCGGUGAAAUGCGCAGAGAUAUGGAGGAACACCAGUGGCGAAGGCGACUUUCUGGUCUGUAACUGACGCUGAUGUGCGAAAGCGUGGGGAUCAAACAGGAUUAGAUACCCUGGUAGUCCACGCCGUAAACGAUGAGUGCUAAGUGUUAGGGGGUUUCCGCCCCUUAGUGCUGCAGCUAACGCAUUAAGCACUCCGCCUGGGGAGUACGACCGCAAGGUUGAAACUCAAAGGAAUUGACGGGGACCCGCACAAGCGGUGGAGCAUGUGGUUUAAUUCGAAGCAACGCGAAGAACCUUACCAAAUCUUGACAUCCUUUGACAACUCUAGAGAUAGAGCUUUCCCCUUCGGGGGACAAAGUGACAGGUGGUGCAUGGUUGUCGUCAGCUCGUGUCGUGAGAUGUUGGGUUAAGUCCCGCAACGAGCGCAACCCUUAAGCUUAGUUGCCAUCAUUAAGUUGGGCACUCUAAGUUGACUGCCGGUGACAAACCGGAGGAAGGUGGGGAUGACGUCAAAUCAUCAUGCCCCUUAUGAUUUGGGCUACACACGUGCUACAAUGAACAAUACAAAGGGCAGCGAAACCGCGAGGUCAAGCAAAUCCCAUAAAGUUGUUCUCAGUUCGGAUUGUAGUCUGCAACUCGACUACAUGAAGCUGGAAUCGCUAGUAAUCGUAGAUCAGCAUGCUACGGUGAAUACGUUCCCGGGUCU